This 545-nucleotide unclassified non-coding RNA is filed under the name Hevea brasiliensis (rubber tree). The record is from RNAcentral. Lineage: Eukaryota; Viridiplantae; Streptophyta; Magnoliopsida; Malpighiales; Euphorbiaceae.
CUGCUUCAUCAUCUACCUGUCCAUUUAUUCCGCCAUCGUUCUCAUCUUCUGAUGAAUAAUUCGAUACCCUUACAGAGAAGGGUGAAGGGAAAGGGCUGCGCUUCUCUCCUGGAGCGAAANGAGGCAUCAAGAUGAUGUAAUAAGUUGAAGGUGUACUCAGGGGUCUUUGGCACCAUAAUCAGUGCUGCAUUAUUAGCGUCUUCUUCUUCUUCGAUGACCUCAGGGUGAUUGAUGCAAGGGAAGUAAUGGUGUUUGCGCUUUGGCACGUGGAAAAAAACAGGAUUUGGGCUGUUGCUGCAAGAGAACUCAUACUCCUGUAAGCCAUAGCUACCGCGUGCCAUGUUUCUUGGGUGGUGGUGGUGGUGGGAUAGUAGAUUGCUCAAAGACUUCCUUAGAAGCUUCCCUCUCUUCAUCAUGAGAUUCAUGUCCAAGAUCAACUUCCUCUUUGAAACCAAUCCCUUCCUGAUCAUAAAGAAGGUGACCCUCAACACAUUCCAUAGCCUCUUGGGUAACACAGAGUUCACCCUGGGAUGUACCUCCAUUUC